GUGGGGAAUCUUGCGCAAUGGGCGAAAGCCUGACGCAGCCAUGCCGCGUGAAUGAUGAAGGUCUUAGGAUUGUAAAAUUCUUUCACCGGGGACGAUAAUGACGGUACCCGGACAAGAAGCUCCGGCUAACUUCGUGCCAGCAGCCGCGGUAAUACGAAGGGGGCUAGCGUUGCUCGGAAUUACUGGGCGUAAAGGGCGCGUAGGCGGACAGCUUAGUCAGAGGUGAAAGCCCAGGGCUCAACCUUGGAAUUGCCUUUGAUACUGGCUGUCUUGAGUUUGGGAGAGGUGAGUGGAACUCCGAGUGUAGAGGUGAAAUUCGUAGAUAUUCGGAAGAACACCAGUGGCGAAGGCGACUCACUGGCCCAAUACUGACGCUGAGGCGCGAAAGCGUGGGGAGCAAACAGGAUUAGAAACCCUUGUAGUCC
This 425-nucleotide ribosomal RNA is filed under the name uncultured bacterium. Its description in RNAcentral is "partial 16S ribosomal RNA". It matches the Rfam family "Bacterial small subunit ribosomal RNA", at positions 354 to 796 of the family's 1533-position model. The record is from RNAcentral.